This 125-nucleotide long non-coding RNA is filed under the name Dasypus novemcinctus (nine-banded armadillo). RNAcentral describes it as "lncRNA (ENSDNOG00000051053.1)". Lineage: Eukaryota; Metazoa; Chordata; Mammalia; Cingulata; Dasypodidae. The record is from RNAcentral.
GGGAGCGGGGCGCGGCCCAGCUCGCCCGCGCGGAGCCAUGAAGCAGCUGUGCCUCUGCGCCGCCACCUCCUUCGCGCUGCGGCUCAGCCCCGCCGACCUCGGCUCCUGCCCAGCCUGCCCCAUCC